RNAcentral lists this ribosomal RNA (253 nucleotides) under uncultured bacterium. RNAcentral's name for it is "partial 16S ribosomal RNA". It matches the Rfam family "Bacterial small subunit ribosomal RNA", at positions 524 to 776 of the family's 1533-position model. The record is from RNAcentral.
UACAGAAGUCCCGAGCGUUGUUCGGAUUCAUUGGGCGUAAAGGGUGCGUAGGCGGCUGGGUAAGUUUGAUGUGAAAUCCUGGGGCUCAACCCUGGAACUGCAUUGAAUACUGCUCGGCUAGAGUACUGGAGAGGAAACUGGAAUUUACGGUGUAGCAGUGAAAUGCGUAGAGAUCGUAAGGAAGACCAGUGGCGAAGGCGGGUCUCUGGACAGUUCCUGACACUGAGACACGAAGGCCAGGGGAGCAAACGGG